CAGUAGCCACGAUAAUACGUAGGGUGCAAGCGUUAAUCGGAAUUACUGGGCGUAAAGCGUGCGCAGGCGGUUAUAUAAGACAGAUGUGAAAUCCCCGGGCUCAACCUGGGAACUGCAUUUGUGACUGUAUAGCUAGAGUACGGCAGAGGGGGAUGGAAUUCCGCGUGUAGCAGUGAAAUGCGUAGAUAUGCGGAGGAACACCGAUGGCGAAGGCAAUCCCCUGGGCCUGUACUGACGCUCAUGCACGAAAGCGUGGGGAGCAAACAGGAUUAGAUACCCCUGUAGUCCCUGUCUCUUAUAU
Molecule: ribosomal RNA, 301 nt
Filed under: uncultured bacterium
Lineage: Bacteria
Description: partial 16S ribosomal RNA
Rfam family: Bacterial small subunit ribosomal RNA
Source: RNAcentral